AUAAAUUAAUUAUUUUUAUUAAUUAUUAAUACUAUGGGUAUUUUGGUAAAUUGAUUCUCAUUCUCAUUCUCAUUCCUCAUUCCCAUUUAUUUUGCCAAGUAAACACAUCAAUGACAUUACAGCACAUUCCCAUUCCUAUUUAUUUUUGCCAAGUAAACAUUGAAAUCUCAUUCCCAUCACUCAUUCUCAUUCCAGUCCAUUCAUAUUCUCAGCCCAUUCCCAUUUCACCUUAUUCCCAUUCCCAUGAAGUAAACGUACCAUUAGUGGGGUGGGGAUGAAGAAUCCCCACGUAGGGAAUGAUUUCCUCAUCCUCACCCUAUUCCUCAUUUACCUAUUUUAUAGUAUGUAUAGAUACAUGAUUUCAGUAAACUAAAAAUUAGAGACUUAAAAUAAAAUCAUCAUCAUAUUAUAAAGUAUUUAAAUUAUUUUUUAAAAAAUCUCUAAAAGUUUGAAACAAUAUCUUAAAAUCAUAUUAAAAGUGAAAAAUAUUUAAAGAGAUCAUCACUUUAAAAGAGAAAAGAAAACAUAACAAUGUUUUAGAGUUGAAAAAUAUUGUAGAGUUUUCUUUUAUUCAUAUCUUGUUUAUAUUACAUAAAAAUUAAAAAAAUUAUUAAUUGAUAUUAUAAUUGAUAAAAUAAAAAUUAUUAAAUAAGAAUUAAAAAUAUAUUUAUAUAUAAUAUGGAUUGGGGUGGGGGUGGGGAGUGUAAAACCAAACCUCACUCCGUUAAUAAUUUGGGGGUUAUUUUUCUCUCACUUCCCCAAAAAUUAUUCAAAAUUUUCUCCAUUUAGAAUGUGGUUUCAUAGAACCCUAAAUCUAUGGAGAAUUUUACCAUCCCUAGUGAUACAUGCUUCAGAGUCCUGCCGAGUUGGGAGGUUUUGAAGAGGGGGCAACAACCAUCCAACUUAAGGGGCCUGAUUCAGGCUUUAUUUGUUAUAUCGAACUCAUGCCAUUGUCUAAGCAAGCACUCAUAAAGUAUUAGAAUUGAAAAGACAUGCACAAAAUAAUAUUUUCUUCAAUUAAUUACAGGUGCUUUUCUUUAGUCUCCCAUGUGUGUCUUGGAUAAGUAAAUUCACAAAACACUUGGGAAAUUGAAUUGAUAGCGUCCCAACUCCCAAGUUUUUAAAACGAUCAAGCAUAACUUUUGAACUUCAAUUCGAUAAUUUGAGUUUUGACGGCCAUUAAAAACAUUGCACCAACCACUUAAAAACACGUGUGAACACUGGGAUCCUAAUUUCCAUAUGAUAAGCUUACACUCCUAUUAAUUUAAAUUAUCUUAACUCCACCCCCGUUCUUUCUAAUUCCAAAGCAAAAGUCAAUUUUGGAUGGAUGGUUUUCGAAAUUCUAUGUAUAUCCAUGCCCCAAAAUCUAAAGUAAAAAAAAAUUUAAAUUAUAAAAAUAAAAUAGACAUAAUUCAAAAAAGCAAACAACUUUUAUCCAUAAUCAAUAAGAAAAUGCAAAAUGACAUUCUUCUUUGCUUACAUUAAAGCCACUUUGUGAACAUUUUUAUACUUUAAUUAAUUAUCUUUCAUGAUCAAUUAUUCCAUAAAAUAAUUAAAUAUGGAUAGUUUCCUUAUCCACAUUGAAUCCCAUUUAACUAGAGCAUGUGCAUGUGUAGUUUGCGAAAUGAGAUUAUUCUGCCUUUCUGUAGUUAGCAGCCAAUUAUUUUUUUCCACACUAAUAUUUGGAGUGUUUUUCUUGUUUCCAGCGGCAAUUUGCCUGAGAAAUUAAUCUAGAACGAAUCAACGAACUAAUACAAACAAGUAAAACAAAAUUUAGUUGUGGAUGGGGCUUGGUCCACUAUACAGCCUUUGUUUGUUUGUUUGUUUUUGUUGUUUUUUUUAAUAUGCGGGCCUUUGAAUUAUAGACAUGAUUUCUUAUGAAAUGUAUCAAAUUAUUAAAUUUACGUAAUUUACAUAGCAGAAUAGCAAUUUGGGCAACGAUUUAACCAUUUGACAAGAAUAUGACUGAGCCUAAAAACCAAAAAAAAAUUGUUUACAAAAUUACCACAAUUAAUAAAUGGUCGUUAAAACUAAAAUGAUCUUUAGGUGACAUUGUACAUAUAGCUUUUAAUUUAAAUAAAAAUUAACAUUCAGAUUAAAUUUAUCAAAUUUGGCUUUAAUCACGUUUAACAUGUCUAAAAGAAUUGUGUCAUGUCAAAAUACAGUAAAACAUUGAUAAAUAAAA
This 2185-nucleotide long non-coding RNA is filed under the name Citrus x clementina. RNAcentral describes it as "Citrus clementina (C. clementina) long non-coding RNA (CCLE_LNC006616)". Lineage: Eukaryota; Viridiplantae; Streptophyta; Magnoliopsida; Sapindales; Rutaceae. The record is from RNAcentral.